GAACUGUAAGUCUGUGACGGGUAA
This 24-nucleotide microRNA is filed under the name Oryza sativa (Asian cultivated rice). RNAcentral's name for it is "osa-miR1872". The record is from miRBase by way of RNAcentral. Lineage: Eukaryota; Viridiplantae; Streptophyta; Magnoliopsida; Poales; Poaceae. RNAcentral also lists the same sequence under 1 other name.